RNAcentral lists this ribosomal RNA (1470 nucleotides) under uncultured prokaryote. RNAcentral's name for it is "partial 16S ribosomal RNA". It matches the Rfam family "Bacterial small subunit ribosomal RNA". The record is from RNAcentral.
CCUGGCUCAGAGCGAACGUUGGCGGUGUGGAUUAGGCAUGCAAGUCGAACGAGAACGCGCCCUUCGGGGCGUUAUUAAAGUGGCGAACUGGUUAGUAACAGGUGGAUAACAUACCCUUUGGCGGGGGACAGCCUCUGGAAACAGGGAUUAAUACCGCAUAAAGCCGUAAAACCGUUGGGUUUUACGGACAAAGUCUUCGGACACCGAAGGAUUGGUCCGCCCCUGAUUAGCUUGUUGGUGUGGUAAAAGCGCACCAAGGCUACGAUCAGUAGCUGGUCUGAGAGGAUGGUCAGCAACACUGGGACUGAGAUACGGCCCAGACUCCUACGGGAGGCAGCAGUCUAGAAGCUUCCACAAUGGACGAAAGUCUGAUGGAGCCGACACCGCGUGCGGGAUGACACUCGUGAGAGCGUAAACCGCUGUCAGCAGGGAAGAAUGCCCGGAUGGUGAAUCCGGGAGUGACGGUACCUGCAGAGGAAGCACCGGCUAACUAUGUGCCAGCAGCCGCGGUAAUACAUAGGGUGCAAACGUUGCUCGGAAUUACUGGGCGUAAAGAGUGCGUAGGCGGUCUAAUUAGUCUGGCGUGAAAUCCCAUGGCUCAACCAUGGAACUGCGCUGGAAACUGUUAGACUUGAGAGCGAGAGAGGCAAGUGGAAUUCCUGGUGUAGCGGUGGAAUGUGUAGAGAUCAGGAAGAACACUCGUGGCGAAGGCGGCUUGCUGGCUCGUUUCUGACGCUGAGGCACGAAAGCUAGGGGAGCGAACGGGAUUAGAUACCCCGGUAGUCCUAGCCGUAAACGGUGGACACUGGGUGUCGGGGGUAUCGACCCCCUCGGUGCCGGAGCUAACGCGUUAAGUGUCCCGCCUGGGGAGUACGACCGCAAGGUUGAAACUCAAAGGAAUUGACGGGGGCCCGCACAAGCGGUGGAGGAUGUGGUUUAAUUCGACGCAACGCGCAGAACCUUACCUGGGCUUAAACCGCAGGAUAAACCAUCCGAAAGGAUGGCUGCUUCGGCAAUCCUGUAGAGGUGCUGCAUGGCUGUCGUCAGCUCGUGUCGUGAGAUGUUGGGUUAAGUCCCGCAACGAGCGCAACCCUUGUCGUUAGUUACCAGCGGUUCGGCCGGGGACUCUAGAGAGACUGCCCUCGUAAGGCGGAGGAAGGUGGGGACGACGUCAAGUCAUCAUGGCCCUUAUGUCCAGGGCUACACACGUCCUACAAUGGCGAGUACAACGGGUAGCAAAGCCGCGAGGCCUAGCUAAUCCCUUAAAGCUCGUCCCAGUUCGGAUUGUAGUCUGCAACUCGACUGCAUGAAGGUGGAAUCGCUAGUAAUCGCGGAUCAGCAUGCCGCGGUGAUACGUUCCCGGGCAUGUACACACCGCCCGUCACAUCACGAAAGUCGGUUGUACCGGAAGUCGCUGAGCUAACCUCACGGAGGCAGGCGCCCAUGGUAUGACCGGUAAUUGGGAUGAAG